GAUGAAAAUYAGCCCUUUACGGUGAAAACCUGGGAUACUCUUGCUUGAACAAGACAUAUGUGGAACUUAGCCCUGUUGAGGAUGCUGGCAAUAAACCUUCAAGGCACUGUGGCCAGUAGCUCUUGAGAACAGCUUGUCUGGUUCAACCGGGAAAAUCCUCUUUACCUGGAGGCCAUUUCACACUUUGAACAACUCCCAUCAGGUUGGAAAUACCAGUUCUAAUGCAUUUUGAGUUGGAAGACA
This 243-nucleotide long non-coding RNA is filed under the name Dromaius novaehollandiae (emu). Its description in RNAcentral is "lncRNA (ENSDNVG00000001225.1)". The record is from RNAcentral. Lineage: Eukaryota; Metazoa; Chordata; Aves; Casuariiformes; Dromaiidae.